RNAcentral lists this ribosomal RNA (459 nucleotides) under uncultured bacterium. Its description in RNAcentral is "partial 16S ribosomal RNA". It matches the Rfam family "Bacterial small subunit ribosomal RNA", at positions 338 to 795 of the family's 1533-position model. The record is from RNAcentral.
CCUACGGGUGGCAGCAGUGAGGAAUAUUGGUCAAUGGACGAGAGUCUGAACCAGCGAAGUAGCGUGAAGGAUGACGGCCCUAUGGGUUGUAAACUUCUUUUAUAAAGGAAUAAAACGAGGCACGUGUGCAGUUUUGCAUGUACUUUAUGAAAAAGCAUCGGCUAGCUCCGUGCCAGCAGCGGCGGUAAUACGGAGGAUGCGAGCGUUAUCCGGAUUGAUAGGGUUAAAGGGGUGCGCAGGCGGAUUUUUAAGUCAGCGGUCAAAUCGUGGGGCUCAACCCCACCCAGCCGUUGAAACUGGGGAUCUAGAGUGUGCGAGAGGUAUGCGGAAUUCCUGGUGUAGCGGUGAAAUGCAUAGAUAUCACGCAGAACCCCGAUUGCGAAGGCAGCAUACCGGUGCACAACUGACGCUCAGGCACGAAAGCGUGGGUAUCGAACAGGAUUAGAUACCCCAGUAGUC